This 328-nucleotide unclassified non-coding RNA is filed under the name Hevea brasiliensis (rubber tree). Lineage: Eukaryota; Viridiplantae; Streptophyta; Magnoliopsida; Malpighiales; Euphorbiaceae. The record is from RNAcentral.
AGCUUGAAGAUCCCAUAAACGGAGUUCACCGUCCCAAGAUCCGGAAAGUGCAAACAUACCGUCUGAUGAUAACACAACAUCUUGGACGAAAUGGCCGUGUCCGGUGAGACGGCGACGGGGGACGCCGUACUGUGAGCCCUCUUUUGUAAGUGACCAAACAAUGAUGGAUUUGUCACGAGACGAUGUGACAAUCAUGUCGGAGUUAUCAAUCGGAGUGGCAAUGGCUGUCACCCAAUCUGUAUGGGCCUUCAUUGUGCCGCGGAGGACCAGUGAUUCUUGCGACAUUGUGUCCUGCAGUGAUAGAAGCGAAAUGCAAGAAUCACUGCAG